This 2754-nucleotide long non-coding RNA is filed under the name Marmota monax (woodchuck). Lineage: Eukaryota; Metazoa; Chordata; Mammalia; Rodentia; Sciuridae. The record is from RNAcentral.
GUUUUUUUCUCUCUCAUUUUGGUCAAAGUAGUACUUAAAAAAUUUCUGUGGAAUAAUAGACAUUCUAAGUAACAAUUAUAGUUGAGGUUUUGAUAAAAGAUAAAAUGUAUAAAUAUUUGCAAAUACAUUUAAAAUGUACCUUGCCACUUUCAAAAUUUAGAAAAUUAACAAGGGUCCUGAGUAAGAAAAUCUGUUUUACCUACUUGAAUUGUUUAACUAGGUCCGUCUUCUCCAGCAAGUACUUCGGAGUCCUUUCCAGAAGUAUUCUGCCGCUGAGAGAGCAGGCUACGCCUUACCCACUCCUUCUUGGGCUAAAGAUCUCAGAGUCAGUUGCUCAUCUUAAUUUGGGAAAAAUCAAUUAAAAAUACUUCUAUUAUUGAACUUAACAUGGAAUAAUCUAUUUUGUAAAUUCUUAAUUAUCAUCUACAUUUUGAUGACAACCCCAUGUUUAAUAAUAAUGAUUAUAUGCAAAAAUAUUUUUAGCCAAAUAAAUUGGACCUUAUUCUUGAAACAUCUCUGUGAUUAUUUUUGUUCUAAUCAAUAACUUAAUGGAAGAACAAAAUGUUUUUAGCAAAACAAUGAGUUAACCUCAAUGACUAAGAAAUCUUCUGACAGUAUUUUAAUCAAAAUGAUUUGUAGGUAUUCAUCUAGUACUUACAAAAUAUUAUGAAUUUUGGGGUACAUUGAUAAGCAUGUAGUUUAAUUGUACUCCUAGAUGAUUUUUUUCUGUUAUGGAAACAUUUACUGAAGUAGAGAAAAUAUUUUUAUGACUCAAAUUUAUAUUUAACCAUCUUACUAAUUAUAAGUGCAUGGCCAAUCUUCCCUCACCUAUAUAGCCACUGGGUUCAAGAUAUAUAUAAAUAUAUAUAAAUAGCAGAAAGAUCAGUAGAGGAGAGGAAAGGAAACAGGGAGAGGGAGGAGAGGGAAGGGAAGGAUAAGUAUUGGGGACUUAAUUGAACCAAAUUAUAUUCCAUGCAUUUAUAAUUAUGUCAAAAUGAAUCCUAACAUUAUGUAUAACUAAUAUGAAUGAAUACAAAAAUGAAGAAAUUUAAAAGUUUCUAAGGCCCAAUUAUUGAGUUGAAUCAUCUUAAUAUCAUACCAGCCAUUAUUUCUGUGAUCAAAUCAAAUAUGUGAAUCAUAAUAAAGAUCUAAAUGUUCUCCCUUUGAGGAUUUAUGGCAAAAUCUUACUUCAGAUUCUAUCAUAUGGCAGGUUAAAUGUUUCCUAUAAACUGUCAAAUGCUGUAGUUUUAGUUGCAGUUGACCUAUUACAUGGGUCUUUGUCCUGAUGACAUUAUAUAAGAAAUUGUAUAGUUUUUAUGAACCAAGAUAUAGGAUUAUUGUCUUAAUCCUUGCACUCUUUGCCACAUCCCCCAGCUCUGCCCUGGCUUUUGCACUUGCCCUCAUCCAAAGACCUCACUUAGCUUCAUGAAAAAAGAACAAAUUCUGCUUUGUUUCCAGGACCAAUCUAAAUAAUCACACUUAGGCAUAGGAGCUGUCUGUGAAGACCUUCUACUCAGAUACCAAAGACUGUUCUACUGAGUGAAAACUGCAGAGUUCAUGAUCUGGUGCCUGGGUCUGUCAAAAGCAAACUUUUGCCCAGGAUUCACUAACUAAAAGCAGCACAGAUUUCUAAGACUUCUGACCAUAAAUACAUGGUCAACUCUAUGUCAAUAUUUUGACUACAAAACUAAUUCUCUUCAGUAUCUUGCCUAAAAUACACAUUAUCAAAUGUUAAAAUUCAUGAACAGUGUAGUUUUAAUUUUUAGUUUUCCCCACUAUAAGGAUAUAUGGUAUAGAUGGAAGUUACUGGGAUGUGAUCCAUCUCCGUGGCCUGAUUCCUUUCAGAAGUGACACUUCUGGGGUCUUCAAUGAAGCCCAUUAAACCAAAUCCCUCUCUUCUACUCUCCCACGUCUCCACUGCCUACUCUCUGGACCCUUCCUGAUCCACAGUGAUGCUAAAGAUGGUGUGACAAGGAAAUGGCCUUUCCUUACCUUGACCGAUGCUGUACUUUUUCAGAGAAAUUUUCCAGUUAGGAUGAAAGAUAGCCAGGCUGUCCCGGCCUCUUUAGACAGAGUUGACAGAAAUUUGGGAAUUGCAGAGUGACUUUCCUCCAUCAUAGGGACUGAAAAGUACAGUGACAAUGCAGAGGGUAACAAUGUUUGCAAAGAGGGUAACAAUGAGGUAAAAGUAUAGAGAAGAAAAUUGAGAAAUGAACUGUAUUUCCAGGAACCUCUUCUAGGACCUGGCUGAGAGUCUAGGCAAAUGCUUGGUGUUACUGGGACUGUGCCUCUGAUCCACAGAAUAAAUGCCACCUUUUACUUGAGCUUUUCCAAUUGGUUUUAUUACUUAAAGUCAUAGUCAUCAUUGAUGGAAUGGGCUCAAUUAUAUUUUCAGGGUGCCUUCAUCCGUAAGAUUCUGUGGCUGUCAGAUGGAAAGACACUUUUCCUUCCUUCUGCAGAUAUGACCAUGAACUACCUUUGAGGGUUUUAGACUGAAAUAAACUCAGUCAAGCACUACUCUUUUGCUUAUAAUCGUCCUAAAUUCUAAGUUAUUCUCAAAGAUGAAUACAUUUUCUGAUCUGUAAACCAGGUGGUAAUUUUGACUCAGAUAAGUAAAUCCAGAUUAUAAUCCUUUUGAAGAUCUUUUGUCCUGAGCCACCGGGUGACUGACCUGGACAACUGUGUGUUUUAAUAGAUAUUUAUAUCUCUUUGUUGAACUUUAAAUCUCCAAAUCAGUCUGUGAUCAAAUUGUGC